RNAcentral lists this ribosomal RNA (225 nucleotides) under uncultured prokaryote. RNAcentral describes it as "partial 16S ribosomal RNA". It matches the Rfam family "Bacterial small subunit ribosomal RNA", at positions 525 to 749 of the family's 1533-position model. The record is from RNAcentral.
ACGUAGGGUGCGAGCGUUAAUCGGAAUUACUGGGCGUAAAGCGUGUGCAGGCGGUUCAUUAAGUCAGAUGUGAAAGCCCGGGGCUCAACCUCGGAACUGCGUUUGAAACUGGUGAACUAGAGUGCGGUAGAGGGGGGUAGAAUUUCAGGUGUAGCGGUGAAAUGCGUAGAGAUGUGAAGGAACACCGAUGGCGAAGGCGGCCCCCUGGGCCGAUACUGACACUCA